This 429-nucleotide ribosomal RNA is filed under the name Chloroflexota bacterium. Its description in RNAcentral is "Chloroflexi bacterium partial 16S ribosomal RNA". It matches the Rfam family "Bacterial small subunit ribosomal RNA", at positions 355 to 776 of the family's 1533-position model. Lineage: Bacteria; Bacillati; Chloroflexota. The record is from RNAcentral.
UGGGGAAUAUUGCACAAUGGGCGCAAGCCUGAUGCAGCCAUGCCGCGUGUAUGAAGAAGGCCUUCGGGUUGUAAAGUACUUUCAGCGGGGAGGAAGGGAGUAAAGUUAAUACCUUUGCUCAUUGACGUUACCCGCAGAAGAAGCACCGGCUAACUCCGUGCCAGCAGCCGCGGUAAUACGGAGGGUGCAAGCGUUAAUCGGAAUUACUGGGCGUAAAGCGCACGCAGGCGGUUUGUUAAGUCAGAUGUGAAAUCCCCGGGCUCAACCUGGGAACUGCAUUCGAAACUGGCAGGCUAGAGUCUUGUAGAGGGGGGUAGAAUUCCAGGUGUAGCGGUGAAAUGCGUAGAGAUCUGGAGGAAUACCGGUGGCGAAGGCGGCCCCCUGGACAAGGACUGACGCUCAGGUGCGAAAGCGUGGGGAGCAAACAGG